AGUGAACGCUGGCGGCGUGCUUAAUACAUGCAAGUCGAACGAAGUGGCGCACGGGUGAGUAAUAUAUAGUUAAUCUGCCCUACACAGAUGAACAACAGUUGGAAACGACUGCUAAUAUAUCAUAGUGUAGGAUGAGACUAUAUCGUAUCAGGUAGUUGGUAAGGUAAUGGCGUACCAAGGCUAUGACGCGUAACUGGUCUGAGAGGAUGAUCAGUCACGUUGGAACUGAGACACGGUCCAAACACCUACGGGAGGCAGCAGGAAGGAAUAUUGCGCAAUGAGAGAAACCCUGACGCAGCAACGCCGCGUGGAGGAUGACACAUUUCGGGGCAUAAACUCCGUUUAUCAGGAAAGCGGGACCUGGGGAAUAAGCACCGGCUAACUCCGUGCCAGCAGCCGCGGUAAUUC
This 408-nucleotide ribosomal RNA is filed under the name uncultured bacterium. RNAcentral describes it as "partial 16S ribosomal RNA". It matches the Rfam family "Bacterial small subunit ribosomal RNA", at positions 29 to 526 of the family's 1533-position model. The record is from RNAcentral.